UACGUAGGGUGCAAGCGUUGUCCGGAAUUAUUGGGCGUAAAGAGUUCGUAGGCGGUUUGUCGCGUCCGUUGUGAAAGCUUGGGGCUCAACCCCAAGUCUGCAGUGGAUACAGGCAGACUAGAGUCAGGUAGGGGAGAACGGAAUUCCUGGUGUAGCGGUGAAAUGCGCAGAUAUCAGGAGGAACACCGGUGGCGAAGGCGGUUCUCUGGGACGGUACUGACGCUGAGACGCGAAAGCGUGGGGAGCGAACAGG
RNAcentral lists this ribosomal RNA (253 nucleotides) under uncultured bacterium. Its description in RNAcentral is "partial 16S ribosomal RNA". It matches the Rfam family "Bacterial small subunit ribosomal RNA", at positions 524 to 776 of the family's 1533-position model. The record is from RNAcentral.